RNAcentral lists this ribosomal RNA (497 nucleotides) under uncultured bacterium. RNAcentral describes it as "partial 16S ribosomal RNA". It matches the Rfam family "Bacterial small subunit ribosomal RNA", at positions 28 to 507 of the family's 1533-position model. The record is from RNAcentral.
GACGAACGCUGGCGGCGUGCCUAAUACAUGCAAGUUGAGCGCUGAAGGUUGGUACUUGUACCGACUGGAUGAGCAGCGAACGGGUGAGUAACGCGUGGGGAAUCUGCCUUUGAGCGGGGGACAACAUUUGGAAACGAAUGCUAAUACCGCAUAAAAACUUUAAACACAAGUUUUAAGUUUGAAAGAUGCAAUUGCAUCACUCAAAGAUGAUCCCGCGUUGUAUUAGCUAGUUGGUGAGGUAAAGGCUCACCAAGGCGAUGAUACAUAGCCGACCUGAGAGGGUGAUCGGCCACAUUGGGACUGAGACACGGCCCAAACUCCUACGGGAGGCAGCAGUAGGGAAUCUUCGGCAAUGAACGAAAGUCUGACCGAGCAACGCCGCGUGAGUGAAGAAGGUUUUCGGAUCGUAAAACUCUGUUGGUAGAGAAGAACGUUGGUGAGAGUGGAAAGCUCAUCAAGUGACGGUAACUACCCAGAAAGGGACGGCUAACUACGUG